GAGUUUGAUCGUGGCUCAGAUUGAACGCUGGCGGCAUGCCUUACACAUGCAAGUCGAGCGGCAGCGCGGGGGCAACCCUGGCGGCGAGCGGCGAACGGGUGAGUAAUACAUCGGAACGUGUCCAGUAGCGGGGGAUAACCUCUCGAAAGAGAGGCUAAUACCGCAUACGACCUACGGGUGAAAGCGGGGGACCGCAAGGCCUCGCACUAUUGGAGCGGCCGAUGUCGGAUUAGCUAGUUGGCGGGGUAAAAGCCCACCAAGGCGACGAUCCGUAGCUGGUCUGAGAGGACGAUCAGCCACACUGGAACUGAGACGCGGUCCAGACUCCUACGGGAGGCAGCAGUGGGGAAUUUUGGACAAUGGGGGCAACCCUGAUCCAGCCAUGCCGCGUGAGUGAAGAAGGCC
RNAcentral lists this ribosomal RNA (405 nucleotides) under uncultured beta proteobacterium. RNAcentral's name for it is "bacterial SSU rRNA". It matches the Rfam family "Bacterial small subunit ribosomal RNA", at positions 9 to 416 of the family's 1533-position model. The record is from RNAcentral. Lineage: Bacteria; Pseudomonadati; Pseudomonadota; Betaproteobacteria.